This 207-nucleotide ribosomal RNA is filed under the name uncultured bacterium. RNAcentral's name for it is "partial 16S ribosomal RNA". It matches the Rfam family "Bacterial small subunit ribosomal RNA", at positions 568 to 774 of the family's 1533-position model. The record is from RNAcentral.
CUCGUAGGCGGUUCGUCGCGUCCGGUGUGAAAGUCCAUCGCUUAACGGUGGAUCCGCGCCGGGUACGGGCGGGCUUGAGUGCGGUAGGGGAGACUGGAACUCCUGGUGUAGCGGUGGAAUGCGCAGAUAUCAGGAAGAACACCGGUGGCGAAGGCGGGUCCCUGGGCCGUUACUGACGCUGAGGAGCGAAAGCGUGGGGAGCGAACA